UACGAAGGGGGCUAGCGUUGUUCGGAAUUACUGGGCGUAAAGCGCGCGUAGGCGGCCAUACAAGUCAGGGGUGAAAUCCUGCGGCUUAACCGCAGAAUUGCCUUUGAAACUGUAUGGCUUGAGUCCGGAAGAGGGUGGUGGAAUUCCUAGUGUAGAGGUGAAAUUCGUAGAUAUUAGGAGGAACACCAGUGGCGAAGGCGGCCACCUGGUCCGGUACUGACGCUGAGGCGCGAAAGCGUGGGGAGCAAACAGG
RNAcentral lists this ribosomal RNA (253 nucleotides) under uncultured bacterium. RNAcentral describes it as "partial 16S ribosomal RNA". It matches the Rfam family "Bacterial small subunit ribosomal RNA", at positions 524 to 776 of the family's 1533-position model. The record is from RNAcentral.